This 670-nucleotide ribosomal RNA is filed under the name Escherichia coli. Its description in RNAcentral is "partial 23S ribosomal RNA". It matches the Rfam family "Bacterial large subunit ribosomal RNA", at positions 1292 to 1945 of the family's 2925-position model. Lineage: Bacteria; Pseudomonadati; Pseudomonadota; Gammaproteobacteria; Enterobacterales; Enterobacteriaceae. The record is from RNAcentral.
GAAUGCUGACAUAAGUAACGAUAAAGCGGGUGAAAAGCCCGCUCGCCGGAAGACCAAGGGUUCCUGUCCAACGUUAAUCGGGGCAGGGUGAGUCGACCCCUAAGGCGAGGCCGAAAGGCGUAGUCGAUGGGAAACAGGUUAAUAUUCCUGUACUUGGUGUUACUGCGAAGGGGGGACGGAGAAGGCUAUGUUGGCCGGGCGACGGUUGUCCCGGUUUAAGCGUGUAGGCUGGUUUUCCAGGCAAAUCCGGAAAAUCAAGGCUGAGGCGUGAUGACGAGGCACUACGGUGCUGAAGCGACAAAUGCCCUGCUUCCAGGAAAAGCCUCUAAGCAUCAGGUAACAUCAAAUCGUACCCCAAACCGACACAGGUGGUCAGGUAGAGAAUACCAAGGCGCUUGAGAGAACUCGGGUGAAGGAACUAGGCAAAAUGGUGCCGUAACUUCGGGAGAAGGCACGCUGAUAUGUAGGUGAAGCGACUUGCUCGUGGAGCUGAAAUCAGUCGAAGAUACCAGCUGGCUGCAACUGUUUAUUAAAAACACAGCACUGUGCAAACACGAAAGUGGACGUAUACGGUGUGACGCCUGCCCGGUGCCGGAAGGUUAAUUGAUGGGGUUAGCGGUAACGCGAAGCUCUUGAUCGAAGCCCCGGUAAACGGCGGCCGUAACUAUAA